Molecule: ribosomal RNA, 300 nt
Filed under: uncultured Sulfophobococcus sp.
Lineage: Archaea; Thermoproteati; Thermoproteota; Thermoprotei; Desulfurococcales; Desulfurococcaceae
Description: partial 16S ribosomal RNA
Rfam family: Bacterial small subunit ribosomal RNA (bases 52-300)
Source: RNAcentral
GAGAAAGAAGGGGGGGCGUGCGAGGGGAAAGGUGGGGGGGAAGGGGUGACCGGAAUUAGUGGGGGGCAAGGGGGGCUAGGGGGGGGCUUAAGGUGGGGGUGAAAGGCCCUGGCUCAACGGGGGGGGGGCGGUGGGAACUGGGGUCCUAGAGGGUAGGGGAGGGGGGUGGAAUUCCCGGUGGAGUGGUGAAAUGCGUAGAGAUCGGGAGGAACACCAGUGGCGAAGGCGGCCCCCUGGCCUGCAACUGACGCUGAAGCGCGAGAGCGUGGGGAGCAAACGGGAUUAGAUACCCCAGUAGUC